RNAcentral lists this ribosomal RNA (134 nucleotides) under Habropoda laboriosa. Lineage: Eukaryota; Metazoa; Arthropoda; Insecta; Hymenoptera; Apidae. The record is from RNAcentral.
ACCAGCGGCCGUAGCCGUGCAUGUCUACCGGUUCCCGUUCGAUCACCGAAGUCAAGAUGCACUGGGCGGCGUUCCGUAAGAAGAUGGGUGACCACCGCUCCACAUCCGUCUCUGGAACCCCCGUGCUGCUGGUU